CUCUGUCUGUUUCAGUUGCAGGUACUGACAGUAAGUUUAACCAAUAGGAGAAUCAAAUAUCUGCCAAGUUUACGCAGUUGUCCAAUCAUAAUUAAGCAGAGGCCGUUCACGGUAUUCUGCAUGAAAAUUGAAGGCGAGUGAGUAGCCAAUGGGAAAGUGAAAGAUCCGACAGCUGUCCAAUCAUUCGUGAGCAGAGGCGGGCUGUUAAUAUGCCGGGUAAACACUGAAUUUCGCCGACUGUUAUUGAGAAAAAUAAUACAUUUCAGUAUUUAGAAUUGAAUUUUCUCUAUAUAUAUUUUUUUAAUUUCACCAGACAAGGGAAACACCGUAGUAGAUUUAGUUACAAAUCCACUUUCUCUGAAUAAUUGUACUGGGAGAUGAGCGAUCUUUAAAAAAGAGUAGUGUUGACAGAUUUGACAAAUUGACACAAAGCGAGACGCUACAUGGUUAUCUAUGUAAACAUGUUAUUUAAAAAUAUUUGCAUUGCGUAUUUUAUAUGAAUUAUUUGAAAAAUAAGCGCAGCACACACAAUUACUGCCUGAGACUUGGCCUUAUCAGCGUAAACAAAGAAUAACUCCCACUAAAACUCUCUAUAUAACGUUAUACUAUAAGAACCUAUGCAAUAGUCAGCGUGCCCGCAAACAGCCAAGUAAGAUCAAUUUAUGCCCGUGCCCAAAUUACUUUGAGGACCACUGCUGUAAAGUCAAACUGAUAACGUUUGGCAAAUAAAAAAAGCACGUACUAAACUAAACAAUUUGGCUAUUUUUUAAAACAUUUUGUGUCCUUUUGGCAUGCCGUAGUUAUUUGACGAAAUAAAAAAAAUCUUGUGCUAACUCAAAUAAGAAAAGCUGAGUAGCGGUGCGAAAAAAAGAAAAAUCACUAAACUCAAACUAGCUAAAUCCGAGGAGGUUAUAAAUAGUACCCCAAAACUCACUAAACUCUUUAAAAGUCAGUGUCAGAAGAAUGAAAAGUUAGGAAGAGACACAUGAGUCAGAGGAGCAAGCAGAGAGCAGCGAGUCGGUUAGCGCUGAGUGCACAGCCACUACAGAGGAGAAAAACGAGAGCCAGCCAUUGAACUGCCAAUUUAAGGCGAGAGAAACUGACAAAACAGAUAAUGCUAUUGCUAGCUCUGAUACGGCAUGUUGGGGUCCGAUAACUGAGGAGGUGAGGUCGCACUAGGUGAGCAAGUGUCCCCUUAUUUGCCAGUAAGACAGUACUUUUUCCGCCUCAUAGAGAAUUUAAUGAAUUACUGAAUUUAAUGACUCAAUCAUUUAACUCUCAUGUUCACUGAACAUGACCUGCUUCGCCAACUGGACUUCACGGACAUUAGUAAGGAAUUAUUUUUUAAGUUUUAAGGCAAGAAAGCAUAAGAUCUAGCAAUGAAACCAAAACGCCGUUCAAUAUAAACGCACUAAUGGUUAAACUGCGUUCCAAAUACACAGAAAAGCAAUGGAAUGAGACGUUUAACCUGGUGCGCUGGUGCAAGUUCUUCCGCUCAUAAAUUAAUAUUUGGGGUUACAACUGCACCUGGGAGACGGAUUCAAAUCUUUCAUGUAGUUGAAGAUGGGACAGUCUUUCCUGUUUGAAGAGAUCCUUGAUGAGAAAGGACAAAUCCACAAGUGGUUUUGGCUUAGCCAGCAAUCACCUGGGCUGCUUUGGACUUCAGAAAGCUUUAAAUGGUAAAGUGUUCUAUUACCAGAAAGUUGUCAGUGCCAUUUGUGGAAAGACAUUUUGGAAAUGGAGGCAUUUAAAGCAAUGUGACAAAGGUCUGCAUUCAUAAGAAAAACAAAUUAAUUCCAAAAAGUCAUUUUCAUUAUUUAUUCUUCAUUGCACAGCUUCAUUUUCUGAAGAACAAACAGAUUCAAAUUCUAAUCUAUAAAGAAAGUCACAAACAUGUUUCAGCCAAAAAGCCUUAAUCAGUGGAGGCACCAAAUGAACAAGACUAUGGGUUGUAGAAUUGCCAACGUAAGCAAACCACUCCUCUUAACGGAUGGCAUCCUUGUAUUUUGGUUAAAGAUUUGUCCACAACAGCAUUUAUUUUUCUUCCCACUCUGUACAUUGAAUGAUGCUGCAAAGCAAUAUUUGCCUUUGUGUUGAAUUGAAUGUUCAAAUAACCUAAUGUAUUAUAACUUGACAGCUGAAUUGAUAUACUGGUAUAUUAUACAAUAUUUCUUAUUUAGAAAUGCUUGCAUUCAAAGCUCCAAUGGGACUGUAAUAAAUCCUAUUGAAAGACGACAAUGCUGCACUUUAAUUGAAUGUAAUGCGUGUGUAUUUGUAGUAUUAUUAAGUUAACUUUCUGCUUGUAUCUCUAUUCUUCAAGUUACAUCCUUGACAGCCAUGGCAACCAGACUAGAAACUAUAGCUAAGCAAAAAGAGUAAGUGCUAUUUUAUUUGCAUAGUGGGUCUAGGCUCCCAACAAUGUUGCCUUUCUUCUUGAGUCGUACAAUCAAUUUACAUUCUCUGGGAAGGGAAAUUGUGUCACUGCAGCAUUGUACAUUUAGUCUUAACAGUCACGUGUGAAAGAAGAUGUUCUGAAAUUCAGCGGACGUGACCAUCUUGCACAUUAAUAAUGCAUCACCAUAUUCAAUGCACCAGUGGCUGAGUAACAUCAUAUCAUUCAAAAACGUCCAUCUCACAGAGAGAUUGUUUACAAUUGUGUAGCUUGUUAGAAAUGUUGGUACUGAAGCUCAGAAAAACGAAACUAUGGACUAAAAUAUAUUGGGGGUAAUACACAUGUUCCUACUAACUUAUUAUUGAUUGUGUAGGGCCUGGGAAUGCAGAGGUUGAAUUAGCAGGAGCCCUGCCUGUAGUGGCUCCCUCUAGCGGGUCAUUUCUCCACAGCAGAGUGCUUAAGGCAGUAUAUACUAUGGGCCAAAAGUAUUCAGGUUUUUACAGCAAGAAAGAAUUGGCCAUUUUGCAGAAGGAAUAAGUGUUACAAGAUAACAGAUUAAAUAAAUCUCUUGGAUGGUCUGUUAUGUUUUGUUGCCUUAACUGUUUUAUUUUACUUUUUACAAAGAAUGGUGCUAAUUGCAUUUUGGGCUUGAUUUAAAUAUGGCCAUAUGUAGCAUAUUGACAAAUACAUAAUUCAAACGGUUCAAACCAAGUGUGCUUCCUUGUUCAUACCAGGGUAGGUCAUGUAACAUGACUUUUUAAAGUAAUUUGUUAGAUGUGAAGCUCAGUGUUAAGAAAAUAAGAUUUUUUUUAAGUGCCCUCAUGCAAUUAAAAUGUUGUAGUUUUUUUUUUUAAAUGUUCCCUGCAUAGUUAAACUUUCAU
Acipenser ruthenus (sterlet) is the source of this 3273-nucleotide long non-coding RNA. RefSeq lists it as uncharacterized. Lineage: Eukaryota; Metazoa; Chordata; Actinopteri; Acipenseriformes; Acipenseridae. The transcript has 4 exons. The record is from RefSeq and is a predicted model, not a curated record.